AUUUUAAGAUAUUUCCAUAUCUCCCUCCAGAAUCCAGGCUUCCAGGAUAAUCCUUGAGCUUCCUCCCCUAAGAUCUUUCAAUCCUGGCCAGCCCAGCCUAGCCCUUCCCAGGAUGAGAGACCACAGCUUGGGGCUGCCAGGAAGGGUUGAAAGACACAGCUACUACCCAGAGAGCUAACAUAGGGUAAGUGUAUGGUGG
Long non-coding RNA from Lontra canadensis (Northern American river otter), 199 nucleotides. RefSeq lists it as uncharacterized. NCBI's taxonomy places the organism in Eukaryota, Metazoa, Chordata, Mammalia, Carnivora, Mustelidae. The record is from RefSeq and is a predicted model, not a curated record. The transcript has 3 exons.